AUAGGUGUAGCUCCAAUUGGUAGAGCGGCGGAUUCCAAAUCCGACGGUUGGGGGUUCAAAUCCCUCCACCUGUGCCA
RNAcentral lists this transfer RNA (77 nucleotides) under Vibrio sp. D431a. RNAcentral describes it as "tRNA-Trp". It matches the Rfam family "tRNA". Rfam says of the family: Transfer RNA (tRNA) molecules are approximately 80 nucleotides in length. Their secondary structure includes four short double-helical elements and three loops (D, anti-codon, and T loops). Lineage: Bacteria; Pseudomonadati; Pseudomonadota; Gammaproteobacteria; Vibrionales; Vibrionaceae. The record is from RNAcentral.